GUAGGUGGCAAGCGUUGUCCGGAAUUAUUGGGCGUAAAGCGCGCGCAGGCGGUUCUUUAAGUCUGAUGUGAAAGCCCACGGCUCAACCGUGGAGGGUCAUUGGAAACUGGAGAACUUGAGUACAGAAGAGGAAAGCGGAAUUCCACGUGUAGCGGUGAAAUGCGUAGAGAUGUGGAGGAACACCAGUGGCGAAGGCGGCUUUCUGGUCUGUAACUGACGCUGAGGCGCGAAAGCGUGGGGAGCAAACAGGAUUAGAUACCCUGGUAGUCCACGCCGUAAACGAUGAGUGCUAGGUGUUAGGGGGGUUUCCGCCCCCCUUAGUGCUGCAGCUAACGCAUUAAGCACUCCGCCUGGGAGUACGGCCGCAAGGCUA
Molecule: ribosomal RNA, 373 nt
Filed under: uncultured organism
Description: partial 16S ribosomal RNA
Rfam family: Bacterial small subunit ribosomal RNA
Source: RNAcentral